Molecule: ribosomal RNA, 484 nt
Filed under: uncultured bacterium
Lineage: Bacteria
Description: partial 16S ribosomal RNA
Rfam family: Bacterial small subunit ribosomal RNA
Source: RNAcentral
AUUGAACGCUGGCGGAAUGCUUUACACAUGCAAGUCGAACGGCAGCACGGGGGCAGCCCUGGUGGCGAGUGGCGAACGGGGGAGUAAUACAUCGGAACGUGCCCGGUCGGGGGGGAUAACGUAGCGAAAGUAACGCUAAUACCGCAUACGAUCUGAGGAUGAAAGCGGGGGACCUUCGGGACUCGCGCGAUCGGAGCGGCCGAUGUCAGAUUAGGUAGUUGGUGGGGUAAAGGCCUACCAAGCCGACGAUCUGUAGCUGGUCUGAGAGGACGACCAGCCACACUGGGACUGAGACACGGCCCAGACUCCUACGGGAGGCAGCAGUGUGGAAUUUUGGACAAUGGGCGCAAGCCUGAUCCAGCCAUUCCGCGUGCAGGACGAAGGCCUUCGGGUCGUAAACUGCUUUUGUACGGAACGAAAAGGCUCUGGCUAAUACCUGGGGCUCAUGACGGUACCGUAAGAAUAAGCACCGGCUAACUACGUG